This 406-nucleotide ribosomal RNA is filed under the name uncultured bacterium. Its description in RNAcentral is "partial 16S ribosomal RNA". It matches the Rfam family "Bacterial small subunit ribosomal RNA", at positions 30 to 526 of the family's 1533-position model. The record is from RNAcentral.
AUCGAACGCUGGCGGCAGGCCUAACACAUGCAAGUCGAGCGAGCGGCGGACGGGUGAGUAAUGUCUGGGAAACUGCCUGAUGGAGGGGGAUAACUACUGGAAACGGUAGCUAAUACCGCAUACCAUCAGAUGUUCCCAGAUGGGAUAAGCUAGUGGGUGGGGUAAUGGCUCACCUAGGCGACGAUCCCUAGCUGGUUGGAGAGGAUGACCAGCAACAUUGGAACUGAGAAACGGUCCAGACUCCUAGGGGAGGCAGCAGUGGGGAAUAUUGCACAAUGGGCGCAAGCCUGAUGCAGAAAGGCCGCGUGUGUGAAGAAGGCCUUCGGGUUGUAAAGCACUUUCAGCGGGGAGGCGUUACCCGCAGAAGAAGCCCCGGCUAACUCCGUGCCAGCAGCCGCGGUAAUUC